Molecule: unclassified non-coding RNA, 350 nt
Filed under: Cercozoa sp.
Lineage: Eukaryota; Cercozoa
Description: partial contains small subunit ribosomal RNA, internal transcribed spacer 1, and 5.8S ribosomal RNA
Rfam family: Eukaryotic small subunit ribosomal RNA (bases 1-47)
Source: RNAcentral
AAAGUCGUAACAAGGUUUCCGUAGGUGAACCUGCGGAAGGAUCAUUAACACGUAUCCACGUACCACUAGUAAACCUAACUGUGUGAACACUGUUUUUCCCGUUUCUCGCUCUCUUUUGCGCAUGCGUUCGCGCCUCUACGCAUCUGCGGGCAAGCAAACACCAAGGGAAAAGGUCGCGGGAGUUUGGACCUAAAACGAACUUCACCUUUGUCAUUUUCAACCCCUUUUAUAACUUACUUGACUGAAACCGAGAUCGGGAUCGGAAACGACCCGCCAUCUCUUCGCUCGGUCCUAAAAAAACCGAAUCGAUAAACUCUUAACAACUCUUAGCAACGGAUAUCUUGGUUCUC